AACGAACGCUGGCGGCACGCUUUAAGCAUGCAAGUCGAAUGGCAGCAGGGGCAACUCUGUGAGAAUGGCGAACGGGUGAGUAACACGUAGGUGAUCUGCCUUGAGGAUGGGGAUAGCCUGUGGAAACACAGGGUAAUACCGAAUAAGCUGACGGGACUUUGGUUUCGUUAGUAAAGGUGCUACGGCACCGCCUUGAGAGGAGCCUGCGGCUGAUUAGCUAGUUGGUGGGGUAAAGGCCUACCAAGGCGACGAUCAGUAGCCGGCCUGAGAGGGUGUACGGCCACACUGGGACUGGGACACGGCCCAGACUCCUACGGGAGGCAGCAGCUAAGAAUCUUCCGCAAUGGGCGAAAGCCUGACGGAGCGAUGCCGCGUGAUCGAUGAAGGUCGAGAGAUUGUAAAGAUCUUUUCUACAUGAGGAAUAAGUCUGGGAGGGAAUGCCUGGAUGAUGACGUUAGUGUAGGAAUAAGCCCCGGCUAAUUACGUGCCAGCCGCCGCCGUAA
RNAcentral lists this ribosomal RNA (503 nucleotides) under uncultured bacterium. RNAcentral describes it as "partial 16S ribosomal RNA". It matches the Rfam family "Bacterial small subunit ribosomal RNA", at positions 29 to 523 of the family's 1533-position model. The record is from RNAcentral.